This is a non-coding RNA of Spinacia oleracea (spinach), 112 nucleotides long. The record is from Rfam. Lineage: Eukaryota; Viridiplantae; Streptophyta; Magnoliopsida; Caryophyllales; Amaranthaceae.
GAUAUAUUUCUAAUCCCUUGACAUUGUUCUUGUCCCAAAAAUGAUAGCUGCAGGAUUUAAUGCUUGUGCACCAUUCAUUGUGGUUUCCAAGUUUGGCUUUUCUGUGACAUUU